This 18-nucleotide small nuclear RNA is filed under the name Arabidopsis thaliana (thale cress). RNAcentral describes it as "snRNA_09131". The record is from RNAcentral. Lineage: Eukaryota; Viridiplantae; Streptophyta; Magnoliopsida; Brassicales; Brassicaceae.
UGGAGAGCACACGGUAUU